This 207-nucleotide ribosomal RNA is filed under the name uncultured Leptotrichia sp. Its description in RNAcentral is "partial 16S ribosomal RNA". It matches the Rfam family "Bacterial small subunit ribosomal RNA", at positions 149 to 355 of the family's 1533-position model. Lineage: Bacteria; Fusobacteriati; Fusobacteriota; Fusobacteriia; Fusobacteriales; Leptotrichiaceae. The record is from RNAcentral.
GAGGGAAACGUUACUGAUAAUACUGGAUAAGUUAGUAUAUCGCAUGAUAUGCAAAUGAAAGCUACGGCACUAAAGGAGAGCUUUGCGUCCUAUUAGCUAGUUGGUAAGGUAAGAGCUUACCAAGGCGAUGAUAGGUAGCCGGCCUGAGAGGGUGGACGGCCACAAGGGGACUGAGAUACGGCCCUUACUCCUACGGGAGGCAGCAGC